Long non-coding RNA from Gasterosteus aculeatus aculeatus (three-spined stickleback), 1852 nucleotides. The record is from Ensembl. Lineage: Eukaryota; Metazoa; Chordata; Actinopteri; Perciformes; Gasterosteidae.
GAUUCUAACAAUAUUAUUCUGGCUGUAGUCCCAGUUCUCUGUGAACCAGAAUUUCCUUAAUGAGUUCAUGGAGGCAUUUAGAAGGUCUUUGUAUGAAAACAGAUGCACAAUGCCGCACACUCGGGAUGAUUAAUCUACAAACUGACAGACGGAUUGUGUAUGGACAAAUACCUGUGAGUGUGUGUUGUGAUGCAGAAACACACCUCACAUGCAUGUGUAUCUCAGGAAAGAGAUGUGUGAUCCAGAACAGGAUCCACCUCUAAGCUAAUAGUCUAGUUCAGAGGUCUUCAACAGGGAGGUACUGCAGGGGGGUCGCAAGAUUUGUGGUUGAUAAAAAAAAAAAAAAAAAGAAAAAAAGAAAUUGUCUUAACAUUUUUUUUUCCCACAAAUUUAAAUGUCUUCAGAAUCAGAAUUGUAUUUAUUGUCUUUAAAUACACAUUAACAUGAAUCCAACAUGUUGUAGCCAACGAAUGAAUUGAUGGAGAAGACGUUAUGUUUCAGUCUGCAACGCACACAUUCAGCUUCCCUCAGCAGCUCUCAAGCUGGACACCGGUUCCCUCACUGCUCCUUUCAUGCUGAUACGACAGCGCAGGCACCAGCCAAUCAGAUCGCCUUUAUGCUCACGUCUAAAGAGCGCGAAGCUCAAAAAUAAAAGCUGGUGGACCAAACUCUGUAGAAUAGGGGUCCCUGCUCCAUCUCGCCAUCAGUUUAGGGGUCCUUGGCCUGAAAAACGACCCCUGGUCUAGUUAUUGUACAAUACAUUACGGCUGAAGCCUUCCCGUAAGUCACAUGAUUGAUGAUGAUUAAUUAAUAAUGAGCCUGCAUAAGCUUGUGAAAUAUUACGUGAUGAGAUAUGCAUGGGUACAAGAGUCAGAGAUGCAGCCAUUUACCAAAUUUAGUGGGCGAGAAAUCCCGUAAACCUAAUUUGUCCUGUGACUCAAAUGCUCACACAGUCAAUGUGUCUGUGUAGGACCCCCACCCACCCCUGCAACGUAUUGUGGUUUGUCCUGCAGUUGAUUUAAUAAAGCCCUUGUUGACUUUCCCUUAAGUGAUGUUGUAAUACUCUCAGGAGAUCGACGCUUGACAGACUGAGGGAAUGAACAUUUGUGUGCUGGUGGGCAAGUUGGAAUCCACUGGUUCCCUUUACAAGAAGCCAAUGCGUUUAUUUCCAUUGUAUGUAUUAUCGUGGACUAACUGCAUGUAUACUAUAUUAUUUAAAAAUAUUUUUGUUUGUUGGACUGUUGGUGGACUUCACCUUGUGGGGGGGGUAGAUGCCUACAUGUAAAAAUAAAAGCGCAAACUGAUUUAAAUCGCAGCAACUCCCCUCAGGGGCCCGAGUGUGAGAUUUUGUUUAGACCACCACAUUGGUGCCCCGUUGAACGCGGCCCACGGAAACCGCAAGGAGUCCUUGUGAGCCGGGGAUGACGUUUUCCCCGAGUCGUAGCUGUGGCUCUGCUGCUGUGUCGUGGAUGGUCCACACUGCUGAGCCCUGUGUUUUGAAUUCACCACCAGGAGUAACGUUGGGCGACAGUAUUUUAUUCGCUAAAGUUCCAGUGGGCUUUGAUGAUGAUCCACUGCUUUUUAGGUUGUUCCUUCGUUUUGUACUCUGUGUUCUGCCUUGUUUAAGAAAUGCCUACCUUAAUUUAGUAGCUGUAGUAGGUCUAGAUGAGUAAAUACUGCCACCUGAUGGGAAGUCCACACGAGGGAACGCAGGCUUGCUUCAUUUUAUUGAGUUGAUAACACGUUGGUUUUGCUGUAAGAUGGAUUCUUCGUCCUUUGAAGAGCCUUCUUCCACACGGGAGCUUAAGACAUUAUUUGUCUGUAAGUGCAUAUUUUGUGUUGUUGUAUAAAU